RNAcentral lists this ribosomal RNA (459 nucleotides) under uncultured bacterium. RNAcentral describes it as "partial 16S ribosomal RNA". It matches the Rfam family "Bacterial small subunit ribosomal RNA", at positions 338 to 795 of the family's 1533-position model. The record is from RNAcentral.
CCUACGGGUGGCAGCAGUGAGGAAUAUUGGUCAAUGGGCGAGAGCCUGAACCAGCCAAGUCGCGUGAGGGAUGACGGUCCUACGGAUUGUAAACCUCUUUUGCCGGGGAGCAAAAAGCGGUACGUGUACCGUAUGGAGAGUACCCGGAGAAAAAGCAUCGGCUAAGCCCGUGCCAGCAGCCGCGGUAAUACGGAGGAUGCGAGCGUUAUCCGGAUUUAUUGGGUUGAAAGGGUGCGUAGGCGGCGAGUUAAGUCAGCGGUAAAAUUUCGGGGCUCAACCCCCAUAUGCCGUUGAAACUGGCUGCCUUGAGUGGGCGAGAAGUAUGCGGAAUGCGUGGUGUAGCGGUGAAAUGCAUAGAUAUCACGAAGAACUCCGAUUGCGAAGGCAGCAUACCGGCGCCCAACUGACGCUGAGGCACGAAAGUGUGGGUAUCGAACAGGAUUAGAUACCCGAGUAGUC